CGAGGGGCAGCGGGGAGUGAGGCUUGCCUUACUUUGCCGGCGACCGGCGCACGGGUGAGUAACACGUAUGCAACCUACCCUUUACAGCGGGAUAACCGGAAGAAAGUUCGCCUAAUACCGCAUAUACUCCUUGGGAGGCAUCUUCCGAGGGGGAAAGAAUUUCGGUGAAGGAUGGGCAUGCGUCGCAUUAGUUAGUUGGCGGUGUAACGGACCACCAAGACGACGAUGCGUAGGGGUUCUGAGAGGAAGGUCCCCCACACUGGUACUGAGACACGGACCAGACUCCUACGGGAGGCAGCAGUGAGGAAUAUUGGUCAAUGGCCGAGAGGCUGAACCAGCCAAGUCGCGUGAGGGAAGAAUGUCCUAUGGAUUGUAAACCUCUUUUGUCAGGGAGCAAAGUCACCCACGCGUGGGUGUUGGAGAGUACCCGGAGAAAAAGCAUCGGCUAACUCCGUGCCAGCAGCCGCGGUAAUACGGAGGAUGCGAGCGUUAUCCGGAUUUAUUGGGUUUAAAGGGUGCGUAGGCGGGCUUUUAAGUCAGCGGUAAAAAUUCGGGGCUCAACCCCGUCCGGCCGUUGAAACUGGGGGCCUUGAGUGGGCGAGAAGAAGGCGGAAUGCGUGGUGUAGCGGUGAAAUGCAUAGAUAUCACGAAGAACCCCGAUUGCGAAGGCAGCCUUCCGGCGCCCUACUGACGCUGAGGCACGAAAGUGCGGGGAU
Molecule: ribosomal RNA, 716 nt
Filed under: uncultured bacterium
Lineage: Bacteria
Description: bacterial SSU rRNA
Rfam family: Bacterial small subunit ribosomal RNA
Source: RNAcentral